AUAUGAACAUGUUUGGGAAAAAUAUAAUAAUACAAAUACAACAACAUCUAAACAAACUCAAAGAUUUAACAUGCCCAUUAUAAACAUCUUUUACAAUAAGUUAACAUAUCAUGCAUAGAUAUGUACCUCAUGUUCAUAUCUUUCUUUGCAAAAAUGUUUCUAACAAAAUUAUAUUUAAUAUCAAUAUGCUUAUAGAUACCUUAGUCUAGUACAAAGUGCAUAUCAGAUUAUCAAUUGCAUUAACAUAAGGAACUUUUCCUAUUUGCUCCUUUUUGAUAAAUCAUGCCCUCGGCUUGAUUUGAUUUAUUAGAUGUUUCUUCUAUUGCAUUCAUCCAUUCAUCCCUGGCAAGGCACAUGAGUAAUGAGCUUAUGAUCACUUCUUUCUUUAUCAUGUCGAGUAACUAUAAAUGCUUUCCCUUCGAUCUCAAAAUGACAAUGGGGAACGUGCGCACAACUCAAUAAUCGUGAUUGAGAUUGAUAAAUUGACUUGAUAAUAUUUAUGUUGCUCCCACUAGGACCAACAAUAUUAUAUUGAUUCACUCUAAGUUGUAUUUUGAUGGCAAUUGAAACGUGUUAUAUUAUCAGUUAAAAUACUCCCCACUUGAAAAAGAAUCUAUUUGAGUUUGCAUAGCAGAAGCGGUUUGGUCUUCAAUUUCAUAUACAUCUUAGUCUUGACCUAUCUCACCCUAUUGAGAAAGAUCAUUCUCUAAGAAUGUGACAUCUCGUAAUUCAAAUUUAGUUACUGUAUCACUAUUUUGUUCUCCCAGAAAUACAUAUUUUUUUUAGUAUUCUGAGUAUUUUAUAAGGAUAUAUUUCCUUCUCCUUUGACUUAAUUUUCUAUAUUUACGAGAAGAACUGUGAACAAAAAUAACACACCCCAAGGUUUCAAAAAAUUAAAAAAACUUAAGUCGGGUUUUCUAUUAACUCAUUCUCAUAUGGAUUCAUAGUAAUUAAUAUUGAAGGUCCUUGAUUAAGGGACAAAUUCGACAAUAAGCAACAUAUCACCCCAAUAGGUAAUAGACAAAUUAAGAGUCUCUCACUUUUUCAGAACAUAUGGAAUUUUCAUAUUGAUAUAUAAAAUAUAAAUUAAUAUGAGAUGAUAUGUAAUAAAUAUUAAAUUCAUAUACAUAAAUAUCCUAUAUAAUAAUUAAUUAUGUUAAUACUUAUUUCAUAUUAGACUAAGAAUCAAAAGUUC
RNAcentral lists this unclassified non-coding RNA (1195 nucleotides) under Hevea brasiliensis (rubber tree). Lineage: Eukaryota; Viridiplantae; Streptophyta; Magnoliopsida; Malpighiales; Euphorbiaceae. The record is from RNAcentral.